Long non-coding RNA from Balaenoptera acutorostrata (minke whale), 294 nucleotides. RefSeq lists it as uncharacterized. NCBI's taxonomy places the organism in Eukaryota, Metazoa, Chordata, Mammalia, Artiodactyla, Balaenopteridae. The record is from RefSeq and is a predicted model, not a curated record. The transcript is spliced from 3 exons.
AGGAAAAUUAAAAUGUGAAGCAAUUGUUGCUGACGUCCUGGAUAAAGGAUCCAGUUUAAUAAUUCUUAUGGAUGUCUACUCUUAUUCUGGGGAGGAACUUAUAUGUUAUAAUCAGUUCUCCAUCUUUGUUGUUGGCGCUGGAGGCUUUGGUGGAAAACGGACAUCAGACAAAGCUAAGUUCCCAGAAUAGGACUGCACUGUCUUCCUAGGAGGAGCAGCUCACUCAUUUUUCCUAUUACCCCCACCCCGGCUCCCCGGCCCCAGCUUGUGUUGCAGAAGCUCAAUUCCAGGUAA